This 244-nucleotide ribosomal RNA is filed under the name uncultured bacterium. Its description in RNAcentral is "partial small subunit ribosomal RNA". It matches the Rfam family "Bacterial small subunit ribosomal RNA", at positions 26 to 285 of the family's 1533-position model. The record is from RNAcentral.
AGAAUCAACGCUGGCGGCGUGCCUAACACAUGCAAGUCGAACGAGAACGGGUAGCAAUACCUUAGUAAAGUGGCGCACGGGUGAGUAACACGUGACUAACCUACCCUGGAGUGGGGGAUAACUGAGAGAAAUCUUAGCUAAUACCGCAUAACACCUACGGGUCAAAGGAGCAAUUCGCUUCAGGAGGGGGUCGCGGCAGAUUAGAUAGUUGGCGGGGUAAUGGCCCACAAGUCAGUGAUCUGUA